This 294-nucleotide long non-coding RNA is filed under the name Amborella trichopoda. RNAcentral's name for it is "long non-coding RNA (ATRI_LNC004149)". Lineage: Eukaryota; Viridiplantae; Streptophyta; Magnoliopsida; Amborellales; Amborellaceae. The record is from RNAcentral.
UUUACUGUAGCAGUGGUGCACCAAUAGCUAAAACUUACAUGCAGCCCCUUAAACUCACUUGAUGGCUCUAUAUGACCCUUGGGUGACUUCCCAUAUAUCAAUGGGCUCUAUAUCAACGGUUAUAUGACCCUCGGGUGACACACAUGAGCUGUGGGCUGGCUCUGUAUGACCCUUGGGUGACUUCCUAUAUGUCAAUGGGCCCUAUAUCAACGGUUAUAUGACCCUCAGGUGACACAAACGAGCUGGGCUCACAAAACGUUGCCCACGCGCGUGGGUGUGCAAGCACCUUCUUUC